GGUCAAGUGAAGAAGCGCAUACGGUGGAUGCCUUGGCAGUCAGAGGCGAUGAAAGACGUGGUAGCCUGCGAAAAGCUUCGGGGAGUCGGCAAACAGACUUUGAUCCGGAGAUGUCUGAAUGGGGGAACCCAACCAUCAUAAGAUGGUUACCUUACACUGAAUACAUAGGUGUAUGGAGCGAACCAGGGGAACUGAAACAUCUAAGUACCCUGAGGAAAAGAAAUCAACCGAGAUUCCCUUAGUAGUGGCGAGCGAACGGGGACUAGCCCUUAAGUGGCUUUGAGAUUAGCGGAACGCUCUGGAAAGUGCGGCCAUAGUGGGUGAUAGCCCUGUACGCGAAAAUCUCUUAGUCAUGAAAUCGAGUAGGACGGAGCACGAGAAACUUUGUCUGAAUAUGGGGGGACCAUCCUCCAAGGCUAAAUACUACUGACUGACCGAUAGUGAACUAGUACCGUGAGGGAAAGGCGAAAAGAACCCCGGAGAGGGGAGUGAAAUAGAUCCUGAAACCGUAUGCGUACAAGCAGUGGGAGCCCACUUUGUUGGGUGACUGCGUACCUUUUGUAUAAUGGGUCAGCGACUUAUUUUCAGUGGCGAGCUUAACCGAAUAGGGGAGGCGUAGCGAAAGCGAGUCUUAAUAGGGCGUCUAGUCGCUGGGAAUAGACCCGAAACCGGGCGAUCUAUCCAUGGGCAGGUUGAAGGUUGGGUAACACUAACUGGAGGACCGAACCGACUACCGUUGAAAAGUUAGCGGAUGACCUGUGGAUCGGAGUGAAAGGCUAAUCAAGCUCGGAGAUAGCUGGUUCUCCUCGAAAGCUAUUUAGGUAGCGCCUCAUGUAUCACUGUAGGGGGUAGAGCACUGUUUCGGCUAGGGGGUCAUCCCGACUUACCAAACCGAUGCAAACUCCGAAUACCUACAAGUGCCGAGCAUGGGAGACACACGGCGGGUGCUAACGUCCGUCGUGAAAAGGGAAACAACCCAGACCGUCAGCUAAGGUCCCAAAGUUAUGGUUAAGUGGGAAACGAUGUGGGAAGGCUUAGACAGCUAGGAGGUUGGCUUAGAAGCAGCCACCCUUUAAAGAAAGCGUAAUAGCUCACUAGUCGAGUCGGCCUGCGCGGAAGAUGUAACGGGGCUCAAACCAUACACCGAAGCUACGGGUAUCACGUAAGUGAUGCGGUAGAGGAGCGUUCUGUAAGCCUGUGAAGGUGAGUUGAGAAGCUUGCUGGAGGUAUCAGAAGUGCGAAUGCUGACAUGAGUAACGACAAUGGGUGUGAAAAACACCCACGCCGAAAGACCAAGGUUUCCUGCGCAACGUUAAUCGACGCAGGGUUAGUCGGUCCCUAAGGCGAGGCUGAAAAGCGUAGUCGAUGGAAAACAGGUUAAUAUUCCUGUACUUCUGGUUAUUGCGAUGGAGGGACGGAGAAGGCUAGGCCAGCUUGGCGUUGGUUGUCCAAGUUUAAGGUGGUAGGCUGAGAUCUUAGGUAAAUCCGGGAUCUUAAGGCCGAGAGCUGAUGACGAGUCGUCUUUUAGACGACGAAGUGGUUGAUGCCAUGCUUCCAAGAAAAGCUUCUAAGCUUCAGGUAACCAGGAACCGUACCCCAAACCGACACAGGUGGUUGGGUAGAGAAUACCAAGGCGCUUGAGAGAACUCGGGUGAAGGAACUAGGCAAAAUGGCACCGUAACUUCGGGAGAAGGUGCGCCGGUGAGGGUGAAGGACUUGCUCCGUAAGCUCAUGCCGGUCGAAGAUACCAGGCCGCUGCGACUGUUUAUUAAAAACACAGCACUCUGCAAACACGAAAGUGGACGUAUAGGGUGUGACGCCUGCCCGGUGCCGGAAGGUUAAUUGAUGGGGUUAGCUAACGCGAAGCUCUUGAUCGAAGCCCCGGUAAACGGCGGCCGUAACUAUAACGGUCCUAAGGUAGCGAAAUUCCUUGUCGGGUAAGUUCCGACCUGCACGAAUGGCGUAACGAUGGCGGCGCUGUCUCCACCCGAGACUCAGUGAAAUUGAAAUCGCUGUGAAGAUGCAGUGUAUCCGCGGCUAGACGGAAAGACCCCGUGAACCUUUACUAUAGCUUUGCACUGGACUUUGAAUUUGCUUGUGUAGGAUAGGUGGGAGGCUUUGAAGCGUGGACGCCAGUCUGCGUGGAGCCAACCUUGAAAUACCACCCUGGCAACUUUGAGGUUCUAACUCAGGUCCGUUAUCCGGAUCGAGGACAGUGUAUGGUGGGUAGUUUGACUGGGGCGGUCUCCUCCUAAAGAGUAACGGAGGAGUACGAAGGUGCGCUCAGACCGGUCGGAAAUCGGUCGUAGAGUAUAAAGGCAAAAGCGCGCUUGACUGCGAGACAGACACGUCGAGCAGGUACGAAAGUAGGUCUUAGUGAUCCGGUGGUUCUGUAUGGAAGGGCCAUCGCUCAACGGAUAAAAGGUACUCCGGGGAUAACAGGCUGAUACCGCCCAAGAGUUCAUAUCGACGGCGGUGUUUGGCACCUCGAUGUCGGCUCAUCACAUCCUGGGGCUGAAGCCGGUCCCAAGGGUAUGGCUGUUCGCCAUUUAAAGUGGUACGCGAGCUGGGUUUAGAACGUCGUGAGACAGUUCGGUCCCUAUCUGCCGUGGACGUUUGAGAUUUGAGAGGGGCUGCUCCUAGUACGAGAGGACCGGAGUGGACGAACCUCUGGUGUUCCGGUUGUCACGCCAGUGGCAUUGCCGGGUAGCUAUGUUCGGAAUAGAUAACCGCUGAAAGCAUCUAAGCGGGAAACUAGCCUCAAGAUGAGAUCUCACUGGAACCUUGAGUUCCCUGAAGGGCCGUCGAAGACUACGACGUUGAUAGGUUGGGUGUGUAAGCGCUGUGAGGCGUUGAGCUAACCAAUACUAAUUGCCCGUGAGGCUUGACCAUAU
RNAcentral lists this ribosomal RNA (2894 nucleotides) under Pseudomonas orientalis. RNAcentral's name for it is "23S ribosomal RNA". It matches the Rfam family "Bacterial large subunit ribosomal RNA". The record is from RNAcentral. Lineage: Bacteria; Pseudomonadati; Pseudomonadota; Gammaproteobacteria; Pseudomonadales; Pseudomonadaceae.